This 252-nucleotide ribosomal RNA is filed under the name uncultured bacterium. RNAcentral's name for it is "partial 16S ribosomal RNA". It matches the Rfam family "Bacterial small subunit ribosomal RNA", at positions 524 to 776 of the family's 1533-position model. The record is from RNAcentral.
UACGUAGGUGGCGAGCGUUGUCCGGAUUUACUGGGCGUAAAGGGCGUGCAGGCGGUUUGUUAAGUGCAGGGUGAAAGCUCCCGGCUCAACUGGGAGAGGUCUUUGCAUACUGGCGAACCCGAGGGAGGCAGAGGAAAGUGGAAUUCCCGGUGUAGUGGUGAUAUGCGUAGAUAUCGGGAGGAACACCUGUGGCGAAGGCGGCUUUCUGGGCCUUACCUGACGCUGAGACGCGAAAGCGUGGGAGCGAACCGG